UGGGGAAUCUUGCACAAUGGGGGAAACCCUGAUGCAGCCAUGCCGCGUGGAGGAAGACACCCCUAUGGGGCGUAAACUCCUUUUCUGCGAGAAGAAACCCUCGUAGCUUCGAGGUGUGACGGUACCGCAGGAAUAAGGACCGGCUAACUCCGUGCCAGCAGCCGCGGUAAUACGGAGGGUCCAAGCGUUGUCCGGAAUCACUGGGCGUAAAGGAUGCGCAGGCGGGGCAGCAAGUCAGGGGUGAAAUCCUGCGGCUUAACCGCAGAAGUGCCCUUGAAACUGUUGCUCUUGAGUCCUGGAGAGGCUGCCGGAAUUCGUGGUGUAGCGGUGAAAUGCGUAGAUAUCACGAGGAACACCAGAGGCGAAAGCGGGCAGCUGGACAGGUACUGACGCUGAGGCAUGAGAGCGUGGGGAGCAAACA
This 421-nucleotide ribosomal RNA is filed under the name uncultured bacterium. RNAcentral's name for it is "bacterial SSU rRNA". It matches the Rfam family "Bacterial small subunit ribosomal RNA", at positions 355 to 774 of the family's 1533-position model. The record is from RNAcentral.